RNAcentral lists this ribosomal RNA (253 nucleotides) under uncultured bacterium. RNAcentral's name for it is "partial 16S ribosomal RNA". It matches the Rfam family "Bacterial small subunit ribosomal RNA", at positions 524 to 776 of the family's 1533-position model. The record is from RNAcentral.
UACGGGGGGGGCAAGCGUUGUUCGGAAUUACUGGGCGUAAAGGGCUCGUAGGCGGCCAACUAAGUCGGAUGUGAAAUCCCCAGGCUUAACCUGGGAACUGCAUCCGAUACUGGAUGGCUUGAAUUCGGGAGAGGGAUGCGGAAUUCCGGGUGUAGCGGUGAAAUGCGUAGAUAUCUGGAGGAACACCGGUGGCGAAGGCGGCAUCCUGGACCGAUAUUGACGCUGAGGCGCGAAAGCCAGGGGAGCAAACGGG